RNAcentral lists this unclassified non-coding RNA (253 nucleotides) under uncultured Rickettsiales bacterium. RNAcentral's name for it is "contains 16S-23S intergenic spacer region". It matches the Rfam family "Bacterial small subunit ribosomal RNA", at positions 524 to 776 of the family's 1533-position model. Lineage: Bacteria; Pseudomonadati; Pseudomonadota; Alphaproteobacteria; Rickettsiales. The record is from RNAcentral.
UACGAAGGUGACUAGCGUUGUUCGGAAUCACUGGGCGUAAAGCGUGCGCAGGCGGCUUUCUAAGUCAGGGGUGAAAUCCCAGGGCUCAACCCUGGAAUUGCCUUUGAAACUGGAAAGCUGGAGUACUGGAGGGGUUGGCGGAAUUCCUAAUGUAGCGGUGAAAUGCGUAGAUAUUAGGAGGAACACCGGUGGCGAAGGCGGCCAACUGGACAGUCACUGACGCUCAUGCACGAAAGCGUGGGGAUCAAACAGG